AUCCUGGUAGUAUUAUGCCUCAUUCACACGUCAGUGAUUUGCAUCAGUGAUUGUGAGCAAAAACCAGGGUUGGAGCCCCCACAGACAAGGUGUAAGGGAGAGAUCUGCUCCUGUUCUGUGUUUAGAGCCACACCUAGUUUUGG
Bufo bufo (common toad) is the source of this 143-nucleotide long non-coding RNA. RefSeq lists it as uncharacterized. The record is from RefSeq and is a predicted model, not a curated record. The transcript has 3 exons. Lineage: Eukaryota; Metazoa; Chordata; Amphibia; Anura; Bufonidae.